This 332-nucleotide ribosomal RNA is filed under the name uncultured bacterium. Its description in RNAcentral is "bacterial SSU rRNA". It matches the Rfam family "Bacterial small subunit ribosomal RNA", at positions 1020 to 1352 of the family's 1533-position model. The record is from RNAcentral.
UCGGGACAGGGGAGACAGGUGGUGCAUGGUUGUCGUCAGCUCGUGUCGUGAGAUGUUGGGUUAAGUCCCGCAACGAGCGCAACCCCUAUCCUCAGUAGCCAGCAGUUAGGCUGGGCACUCUGAGGAGACUGCCAGGGAUAACCUGGAGGAAGGCGGGGAUGACGUCAAAUCAUCAUGCCCCUUAUGAUUUGGGCUACACACGUGCUACAAUGGCGUAAACAAAGGGAAGCAAGCCUGCGAAGGUAAGCAAAUCCCAAAAAUAACGUCCCAGUUCGGACUGCAGUCUGCAACUCGACUGCACGAAGCUGGAAUCGCUAGUAAUCGCGGAUCAG